CUAGGGAACGCCGAGUCUACAGACCCAGCUGAGGCUUCCUGAUACACAGGAUUAUAAAAUAUUUGGCUUGAAUGAGGGUUGCUACGAUCAACAGUUGACAAAUGACUGCUAAGAGAACUGAAAGACCAAGAGACUGAGCAGCUGAAGCGAAACAGCCAGAUGCUGAAGAGGAUCACAUCGUGCCAAAGAGGAACAAUAAAGUCGCUGUGCACUUUAUUUCUAAAAGAAAACUCGACGAUUGUACAAGAUGCCCAGCAAAAUUUGGACAUGUCUGUAAAUGACCAUAAAAUCCACACGACAGCCGAAUGCAAAGCCAAACUUGUGGUCGGAUGAUUA
Long non-coding RNA from Carcharodon carcharias (great white shark), 336 nucleotides. RefSeq lists it as uncharacterized. The record is from RefSeq and is a predicted model, not a curated record. NCBI's taxonomy places the organism in Eukaryota, Metazoa, Chordata, Chondrichthyes, Lamniformes, Lamnidae. The transcript has 3 exons.